This is a small nucleolar RNA of Microtus oregoni (creeping vole), 134 nucleotides long. RefSeq annotates it as small nucleolar RNA SNORA14. NCBI's taxonomy places the organism in Eukaryota, Metazoa, Chordata, Mammalia, Rodentia, Cricetidae. The record is from RefSeq and is a predicted model, not a curated record. The transcript has a single exon.
UUGCAUUCUUAAACCCUCUUGGCGGCUUUGCUCCGGUGCUUCCAAGAUAUGAGUGAAUGCUAGAGAAAGUGCGGGGGAGUCCAAAGGGCUGCGCUCUUCACGUGGUUCAGCCUUAUUUCAUACCUGCGACAUCU